UACGGGGGGGGCAAGCGUUGUUCGGAAUUACUGGGCGUAAAGGGCUCGUAGGCGGCCAACUAAGUCCGACGUGAAAUCCCCAGGCUUAACUUGGGAACUGCGUCGGAUACUGGAUGGCUUGAAUUCGGGAGAGGGAUGCAGAAUUCCAGGUGUAGCGGUGAAAUGCGUAGAUAUCUGGAGGAACAUCGGUGGCGAAGGCGGCAUCCUGGACCGGUAUUGACGCUGAGGCGCGAAAGCCAGGGGAGCAAACGGG
Molecule: ribosomal RNA, 253 nt
Filed under: uncultured prokaryote
Description: partial 16S ribosomal RNA
Rfam family: Bacterial small subunit ribosomal RNA
Source: RNAcentral